This is a non-coding RNA of Cyanistes caeruleus (blue tit), 369 nucleotides long. Lineage: Eukaryota; Metazoa; Chordata; Aves; Passeriformes; Paridae. The record is from RefSeq and is a predicted model, not a curated record.
CCAUGGCCAUGCAGAAGGAGGUGGUGGAGACACAGUGCUACCACACCAGGCUGUGUCUGUCCUCUCCUGCAGAUGCUUUCCUCACCUAAUAUGUUCAAGGAAUAACCCAUAAUAUGGAGAAAACCAAACCCGAGAAAAGAAAACAAUGAAAUGGGCAAAGGUAUAAUAAUCAAUUCAUCACAUUUGAGUUUGCUGCAGAGAACUGAUGUCAGUUUUUGUGCAGAUACUUCAGCCAGGAUAACCCCCUGAGACCACAGAGAAAGCCCUCUGUAGUAUGCACCUGAAAAAUUAGAGAAAGGGGAGAAAACCUACAGACAUUGUUACUUUGUUUCAGUCUGACCAUAAUUCCCUUUUUGGGGAAUUUGGUCU